CACCGGCUAACUCCGUGCCAGCAGCCGCGGUAAUACGGAGGGUGCGAGCGUUAAUCGGAAUUACUGGGCGUAAAGGGUGCGUAGGUGGUUUGAUAAGUUAUCUGUGAAAGCCCUGGGCUCAACCUGGGAACUGCAGAUAAGACUGUUGGACUCGAGUAUAGGAGAGGGUAGUGGAAUUUCCGGUGUAGCGGUGAAAUGCGUAGAGAUCGGAAGGAACACCAGUGGCGAAGGCGGCUACCUGGCCUAAUACUGACACUGAGGCACGAAAGCGUGGGGAGCAAACAGGAU
Molecule: ribosomal RNA, 288 nt
Filed under: Legionella pneumophila subsp. pneumophila
Lineage: Bacteria; Pseudomonadati; Pseudomonadota; Gammaproteobacteria; Legionellales; Legionellaceae
Description: partial 16S ribosomal RNA
Rfam family: Bacterial small subunit ribosomal RNA
Source: RNAcentral